This 303-nucleotide ribosomal RNA is filed under the name Triticum aestivum (bread wheat). RNAcentral's name for it is "partial small subunit ribosomal RNA". The record is from RNAcentral. Lineage: Eukaryota; Viridiplantae; Streptophyta; Magnoliopsida; Poales; Poaceae.
AUGGGUCAAUAUCCUUAUUUGGCUUUGCAGAACAGAAUGAACAUAUGCUGCAUUGCCUUUCUUAGUGUACUGUUUGGACAUAAACACAAACACCUUGCGUGCAAGAAAAGUAGAAAAAUCAGCAAGCUACAAUCAGACCAGUGGAUCUGUAUUUCAUAUCAUCCUCAGCAAGAAGAAUCACUUGCACAACAUUCUCAUGCAACAAAAUCUCAAAGGAACAGAAGAAUCACCAACCUCACCUGUGGUCAACGGCACUAUGGUCAGCUGGCCGUAGAUGGAUGUCCAGCUCCUAUGAGCCUUUAA